Angiostrongylus costaricensis is the source of this 73-nucleotide non-coding RNA. The record is from Rfam. Lineage: Eukaryota; Metazoa; Nematoda; Chromadorea; Rhabditida; Metastrongylidae.
GCCUCAUUGUCUCAGAGAGUAGAGGGUCAGCCUUUUGAACAGGAGGUCUCUGGUUCGAUUCCAGCAAGAGGCA